UACGAAGGGGGCUAGCGUUGCUCGGAAUCACUGGGCGUAAAGGGUGCGUAGGCGGGUCUUUAAGUCAGGGGUGAAAUCCUGGAGCUCAACUCCAGAACUGCCUUUGAUACUGAAGAUCUUGAGUUCGGGAGAGGUGAGUGGAACUGCGAGUGUAGAGGUGAAAUUCGUAGAUAUUCGCAAGAACACCAGUGGCGAAGGCGGCUCACUGGCCCGAUACUGACGCUGAGGCACGAAGGCCAGGGGAG
This 245-nucleotide ribosomal RNA is filed under the name uncultured bacterium. RNAcentral's name for it is "partial 16S ribosomal RNA". It matches the Rfam family "Bacterial small subunit ribosomal RNA", at positions 524 to 768 of the family's 1533-position model. The record is from RNAcentral.